RNAcentral lists this ribosomal RNA (452 nucleotides) under Paramunida cretata. Its description in RNAcentral is "partial 16S ribosomal RNA". It matches the Rfam family "Bacterial large subunit ribosomal RNA", at positions 1946 to 2597 of the family's 2925-position model. Lineage: Eukaryota; Metazoa; Arthropoda; Malacostraca; Decapoda; Munididae. The record is from RNAcentral.
CUGUGCAAAGGUAGCAUAAUCAUUAGUUUUUUAAUUGAAGGCUUGUAUGAAGGGUCUGACAAAGAAAAAGCUGUCUUUAAUUUUAUUUUUGAAAUUGACUUUUAAGUGAAAAGGCUUAAAUAUAUUUAAGGGACGAUAAGACCCUAUAAAUCUUUAUAUUAAAUUGUUAUCUUGGAUUUUAAUAAUUGUCUAGAUUUAACAAGUAAAAUAAUAAAUAUUUUGUUGGGGUGACGAGAAUAUAAAAAUAACUGUUCUUUUAAAAAACAAAGUUGUUUGUAUUAAAUUUAUAGAUCCUUUUUUAAAGAUUAAAAGUUUAAGUUACUUUAGGGAUAACAGCGUUAUUUUUUUUGAGAGUUCUUAUCGAAAAAAAAGUUUGCGACCUCGAUGUUGAAUUAAAAUUUCUUUAUGGUGUAGAAGUUAUAGAAGAGAGUCUGUUCGACUUUUAAAAUUUU